Molecule: long non-coding RNA, 465 nt
Organism: Penaeus monodon (black tiger shrimp)
Lineage: Eukaryota; Metazoa; Arthropoda; Malacostraca; Decapoda; Penaeidae
Exons: 2
Source: RefSeq, a predicted model, not a curated record
CAACAUUAAAAAGGACGCAGGGAAAGUUUGGGGUGGAGAGAAGGGAAAUCUCGGAAGAGACCGGGGCUCUACGGGGAUCUUCAAUAAUAUUAUGUCCAACAACAAAGGCCCCGUCGCUGUGCCCACUGCGUCCUUCCUACUGGCUUUGGCACUGCCCUGCAUCUAUAAUCGGCUAGUUAGAUGAAGGAUACUUCAGCUCGGCCGGAGGGAGCCCCACUGCUUACUCUCUGGCUCUCAGCAACCCAUAGUGUCAUCUUAAAAUGUGAUCAGAAUCUGUUGUGAGAUCGGAUAUGUUUAUGUUUGUGUUACAGAUAUCUGUACUUCAUUACCGAGGUGUCAUUUAUAGACUAAUGCUCAUGUUGGUACAGUCACCAAUUCUCAGACUGAAAACAUUUAUGAGUAAUGUUAUAGCUUACAAAUUAUAUUAUCAGUAGAGAUAUCAAUAUAAUUUUUGUUAUCAGCGUA